UGACAGUCCUGCGGGCGCGGGCGGAGGUGUCAUGGCCGCACGGCGGUGCAGGAGGCCCUGCGCGCUUCCCCCCCUUUUGGCGGCGGCUCGCGGUGCCCCUCAAGGCGACUCGGCCUCGAAGGCUCAGCCCGGCGUGGGGGGCGGCAGCGAAUCCCAGUGUCUUGGCGGUUCCCUUAUACGAGAGGUGUAGGAAACCCGGUGCCUGCCGUAUUAAUUAAUGCGUGUGGUCAUUAAUCUUCAGUCCAAAGGGCUCCAAUCUUUCACUUUACAGAAUUGCAACGGUUGGGAGAGACCUCGAGAUCGUCAAGUCCAACCCCCUUACUAAAGCGGUUACCCUACAACAGGUCACACAGCCUCAUAAGGACAGAAACAAGAAUAUCUUUCAAGAGGCUGUGUGUUACAUUACUGUAUGGGAACUGCUGAGUCAUGGCCUGAACCACUGAUUGAUCACCUGUGAAAAGGACUGGAUCAGCCCUGGGAGCACAGGGUUUCCAAGAAGGCAAUGUAAAGGAUAUCCAACGUCAACAAGUGCUUUUGUUGCCAAUGCCUACUGCAGAGGAGGGUGAGGAGGCUGCCAAGAAGAGUUUCAGAAUGGAUGAAAGCCCUACACCAAACAAAGGUCUAAAGGCUGUGGUCGAGAGCAGGCAUGGACUGACCAACUAUCCACCAUUUUUGCCUCCAAAUAUUUUCCAAGUUUUAACCCUUCAUGAGAGGCUGUUCUUGUCUUGCUCAGGUGAUGUGUCUCACCUGGAAGCUGUCCUGAAAGGAUGAGAAAUCUUGUCAUUCUUUCUUCCUACGCUGAACUAACAAUCAAGACACGUGAGCUUUGCAUGUUACAUGCUUUACUUUAGGGUCUCUUGGUUCUCUGGUACUGGUAUCACUAGUACUGACUUCUGACUUACCUGGAUCAUGAAAAGCUUCCUUUUGAUUUACUGAGCACAAAAAUCUAAAAAUAAAAUCCUGUUUCCUCAACUAGUGAUAGCCAGCGUUGGACUUCGCAAUUCAGAAAACUUCAUGGAAUGGUUAUAGGUGCAAAUAUUUUCUGAAGACAAUUUCAUCUGCUAUAUGUAAAGCUUUGAUUUAACCAAAAAUAUCAAAUAUUUCAAAUGAAAUAACAGGCUCCUGUUUUUCUAAAUCCUUGCAACAAAACUAAAUGUACCACUACAACAGUUCUUACAUUUCAGAUUUCACACACAUGGUCUCAAAGUCCACUUCUGAGCAUCAUUUAUUUCCCUGCUAUUUCAGUGUACUGAUGAUCUCCGAGACACUGUCUCACAAUUUGUGGUGUUGAAUUUUAUUUUUGUAUUAAUAAGCCAAGAAAGUUUUGAAUGUCAUUUGUCUAAUUUUCCAUGUAUGUUUUCUGCCUCGUUUGUAUCUAGUGCAAGCUUCCAAUUUAUUUGGGGUGAGGAAAAAAAAUAAAAACAUGGAAAAAGUUUGUUUUAAAUCAGUCUUAAAAUACCUCUUCUUCCUUCUCACUGUAUUCUGUUUAAGAGCCAUUUAAAAAACGUGGACUAAUGUGAGUAAUCAUCAUAAAUCUUUCUCUUUUCUUCCGUUUUUGGGGCAGUAUAGAAUGUAGCUCUUGUAUGAGUAGCUAAUUUACUUUCAGCACCAUCAGAGUGAGUUCAUAAACACUUCUUGAUUGUUCAGGUGUAACGUUCAGAUAAGAGCAGGUCUGUUGCAGUUCAGCAUCUUUCUGGCUAGAGUGACUUUUCAUGGAAAAUGGUGGUACUCUGAGAAGAAGGGAAUUUUUUUUUCUCUACUAGAUGUGAGAGUAAAAUAAUAAUGGUAUCAAUAAGAAGGUAGUAAGAAAAUUGGUAUUAGCUCUAGGUAUUUUCCAGCUAUAACAUCAUGAACCACCAUAGAAUUUUAUGUAAUGGUUAAAGAUUAUGUUAAAUUAUUUUAAUAAACAAAUUAAAUGAUACAUAAAACAUAGAACAACAGGUAUAAUUAAACUGUAUCAAAGACUUGAUGUUCACAGUCAGCUGGCUCAUGAACAUGCUGAGCUCAAAAAGCAAGGGAGAAUUCAUGAAAUUAAUACUUAUGCACAAAAUCCCUUGUAUCAUCCUUUUACAGAAUUAAUUGAUAACUUCUCACAAAGCAGACCAUUUAGAGUCUCCUGAUGUUCUGUUCUGUGACUAUCCUGUGGCUGUGACAGCUGAGAAGCACAGGUUCUCCCUGUUUUCUGGGUGCACGCUGCAUAUGCUGCAUUAUGACACACUGCAGAUGUGGUCACGUGGGCUUUGUGAAGCUGCUCUCCUGCCUUGGCUACACGGAGUGACUCAGAUAUUGUGAUGGUGCAUGCAACUGGUCUAGAUUUGCUUCAGUAGCAUUAGCACAUGUUAAUAAGACAUCUCAGCCCUGCUAGACAGUUACGAAAAGGCAGAGUAACAAAGGGUACAGGCUGAAUGAGGAGCAAAACCUUUAGCAGUUUUUGCUUUUUACAUCUAAUUGAUACAUAUUGCAAUACAUUUAUCAUUAUUCUCAUUAUUUGCCCCCUGCACUGCAGUACUUAAAAUACUGAGCUAUGGUUUUGUUUGGUGUCUCACCUUAUUUAUACUUUAAUCUUGUUUAAAAUCCUUGGGGAAAAAAAGAAUAAUCCAACAAAAUUAGAAUAUUCCUUGAAUUGCUGUCACAAUGCUAGAGAAAAAUACCUAAUAAUGGGAUAAACUACGUUCAGCAGUAGCAUAAAAAAUAGAUUAUUGCCUCAAGCACUGAAUACCAACUCCUUAGCUAGAGUGCACAGAGCAGUACUGCUGUAGUACUGCAAAGUAGUACAGGCUAAGCUCUGUCAAGUAACUGCAGCUGAGAAGCCAGCCUGGCUGAUUGCUCUGCCUGUUCUGUACGUGGACCAGAUGCACGCUGUUCAGCUCAUGAAUUAGAAGAGGCUGAACUCAGCCUUGAUUAUGUUCAUACCACUGUACAGAAAGAAUCAGAUAAACCAGUUAAAAAUUAUAAUAACACAAGAGAAACAACAGCAAAACCCGAGGGGCAAAAGACUUUUUCCUUAGGGAUUCAGUGAGAGAUACAACUCAAGCAAUUAAACAUUAAAAUAAAUAAUUCUACAGAAUACAUUAUUCUAUUAUUUAGAUGUGGUAAAAGAAAGUAAGUACAAAAGUUGAUGAAAGCACUAUCUCUUCUGCAAGUUUCUUGCUUAGCACGUUAAGUCAACUUGUGACCAAUAUUUUACUUUUGAACAUACAGAGGCAAGGCUUUUAUGUCCUAAGCAUAUAAGCAUACUCUUACAGCUUGGCAAGGCAGAAAAGGAUUUUGAAAGUACCUUAAUGUUGUGACAUGCAUGUCACAUAU
This 3306-nucleotide long non-coding RNA is filed under the name Gallus gallus (chicken). Lineage: Eukaryota; Metazoa; Chordata; Aves; Galliformes; Phasianidae. The record is from RNAcentral.